CCUACGGGAGGCAGCAGUGGGGGAUAUUGCACAAUGGGGGGAACCCUGAUGCAGCGACGCCGCGUGGGUGAAGAAGCGCCUCGGCGCGUAAAGCCCUGUCAGCAGGGAAGAAAAUGACGGUACCUGAAGAAGAAGCCCCGGCUAACUACGUGCCAGCAGCCGCGGUAAUACGUAGGGGGCAAGCGUUAUCCGGAUUUACUGGGUGUAAAGGGGGCGCAGACGGCGAUGCAAGCCAGGAGUGAAAGCCCGGGGCCCAACCCCGGGACUGCUCUUGGAACUGCGUGGCUAGAGUGCAGGAGAGGCAGGCGGAAUUCCUGGUGUAGCGGUGAAAUGCGUAGAGAUCAGGAGGAACACCGGUGGCGAAGGCGGCCUGCUGGACUGCAACUGACGUUGAGGCCCGAAAGCGUGGGGAGCAAACAGGAUUAGAUACCCGGGUAGUC
RNAcentral lists this ribosomal RNA (440 nucleotides) under uncultured bacterium. Its description in RNAcentral is "partial 16S ribosomal RNA". It matches the Rfam family "Bacterial small subunit ribosomal RNA", at positions 338 to 795 of the family's 1533-position model. The record is from RNAcentral.